UACUCCUUGCAAUAACGAUACAUAACAUAAACAUUUUGUCAAUACGUAAUUCAUAUGAACAAAUAUAUGUAUAAACAUUUUUAACAGUAUCUCAUGUUGAAGAAAUUUCGUUUACCAGCCUAAGUUAACGUUAUAAAGGUAGGCCAACUAUCCUAUGUAUUCCAAUAUUACGAAGAUAUUCAAAAGCUCUCUUUGUAUUGAAGAGAUGCAGUAAUAUUUUAGGAUUACUUGAGCACUUAUUUGUAUCGGAUAGGUUUGAUUUUAUGUGAUAAAUUAUUAAGAGAGGGUUUCUUAUUACAUUUGGAUUUGUGGUAAAAUAAGAAGAAAUAAAAGAGUGUUUCAAAUAAGUGUAUUAUAACAAACGGUUGAAAGAAAAUUGAACGUGACCAGAAUAGAUAUAAGAAUGAUUUAGAUAGCGUGUGUUACCUUUCAAUGAAGAUUAACAGAUUUAGAGUCUAUAUUAGCAUAAAUAAUAUAAGAUAGUCUACAUAACAGCUGGUUGAAACGCGUCUUUAA
Ruditapes philippinarum (Manila clam) is the source of this 516-nucleotide long non-coding RNA. RefSeq lists it as uncharacterized. Lineage: Eukaryota; Metazoa; Mollusca; Bivalvia; Venerida; Veneridae. The transcript has 3 exons. The record is from RefSeq and is a predicted model, not a curated record.